GAGGGUAGAGCUCAGCGGUAGAGCGUGUGCUCAGCAUGCAUGAGGUCCCGGGUUCAAUCCCAGUACCUCCA
RNAcentral lists this transfer RNA (71 nucleotides) under Camelus bactrianus (Bactrian camel). It matches the Rfam family "tRNA". From Rfam's summary of the family: Transfer RNA (tRNA) molecules are approximately 80 nucleotides in length. Their secondary structure includes four short double-helical elements and three loops (D, anti-codon, and T loops). The record is from Rfam by way of RNAcentral. RNAcentral also lists the same sequence under 3 other names. Lineage: Eukaryota; Metazoa; Chordata; Mammalia; Artiodactyla; Camelidae.